RNAcentral lists this ribosomal RNA (497 nucleotides) under uncultured bacterium. RNAcentral's name for it is "partial 16S ribosomal RNA". It matches the Rfam family "Bacterial small subunit ribosomal RNA", at positions 28 to 507 of the family's 1533-position model. The record is from RNAcentral.
GAUGAACGCUGGCGGCGUGCCUAAUACAUGCAAGUCGAGCGAAAAGACGAGGAGCUUGCUCCGCUGACGUUAGCGGAGGGCGGGUGAGACACACGUGGAUCACCUACCUGUAAGACUGGGAUAACUUCGGGACACCGGCGCUAAUAGCGGAGAAUAUAUUGAACCGCAUGGGUCAAUAGUGAAAGACGGUGUUGCUGUCACUUAUCGAUGGAUACGCGCCGCAUUAGCUAGUUGGUAAGGUAACGGCCUAGCAAGGCAACGAUGCGUAGCCGACCUGAUAGAGUGAUAGGCGACACGGGAAGGGAGACACGGUCCAGACUACUACGGGAGGGCGCAGUAGGGAAUCGGCCGCAACGGGGGAAAGCCUGACGGAGCAAGGCCGCGUGAGUGAUGGAGGUCCUGGGAGCGGAAUGCUCUGUUACUAGUGAAGAACCAAUGUGUAAGGAACUAUGCACGUCGUGACGGUACCUAAUCAGAAAGCCACGGCUAACUACGUG